This 497-nucleotide ribosomal RNA is filed under the name uncultured bacterium. RNAcentral's name for it is "partial 16S ribosomal RNA". It matches the Rfam family "Bacterial small subunit ribosomal RNA", at positions 28 to 507 of the family's 1533-position model. The record is from RNAcentral.
GAUGAACGCUGGCGGCGUGCCUAAUACAUGCAAGUCGAGCGAACGGACGAGAAGCUUGCUUUUCUGAUGUUAGCGGCGGACGGGUGAGUAACACGUGGAUAACCUACCUAUAAGACUGGGAUAACUUCGGGAAACCGGAGCUAAUACCGGAUAAUAUUUUGAACCGCAUGGUUCAAAAGUGAAAGACGGUCUUGCUGUCACUUCUAGAUGGAUCCGCGCUGCAUUAGCUAGUUGGUAAGGUAACGGCUUACCAAGGCAACGAUGCAUAGCCGACCUGAGAGGGUGAUCGGCCACACUGGAACUGAGACACGGUCCAGACUCCUACGGGAGGCAGCAGUAGGGAAUCUUCCGCAAUGGGCGAAAGCCUGACGGAGCAACGCCGCGUGAGUGAUGAAGGUCUUCGGAUCGUAAAACUCUGUUAUUAGGGAAGAACAUAUGUGUAAGUAACUGUGCACAUCCUGACGGUACCUAAUCAGAAAGCCACGGCUAACUACGUG